GCUAGCGGCGGAUGGGUGAGUAACACGUGGGCAAUCUGCCCUAAAGACUGGGAUACCACUUGGAAACAGGUGCUAAUACCGGAUAACAACAUGAAUCGCAUGAUUCAAGUUUGAAAGGCGGCGUAAGCUGUCACUUUAGGAUGAGCCCGCGGCGCAUUAGCUAGUUGGUGGGGUAAAGGCCUACCAAGGCAAUGAUGCGUAGCCGAGUUGAGAGACUGAUCGGCCACAUUGGGACUGAGACACGGCCCAAACUCCUACGGGAGGCAGCAGUAGGGAAUCUUCCACAAUGGACGCAAGUCUGAUGGAGCAACGCCGCGUGAGUGAAGAAGGUUUUCGGAUCGUAAAGCUCUGUUGUUGGUGAAGAAGGAUAGAGGCAGUAACUGGUCUUUAUUUGACGGUAAUCAACCAGAAAGUCACGGCUAACUACGUGCCAGCAGCCGCGGUAAUACGUAGGUGGCAAGCGUUGUCCGGAUUUAUUGGGCGUAAAGCGAGCGCAGGCGGAAUGAUAAGUCUGAUGUGAAAGCCCACGGCUCAACCGUGGAACUGCAUCGGAAACUGUCAUUCUUGAGUGCAGAAGAGGAGAGUGGAAUUCCAUGUGUAGCGGUGGAAUGCGUAGAUAUAUGGAAGAACACCAGUGGCGAAGGCGGCUCUCUGGUCUGCAACUGACGCUGAGGCUCGAAAGCAUGGGUAGCGAACAGGAUUAGAUACCCUGGUAGUCCAUGCCGUAAACGAUGAGCGCUAGGUGUUGGGGACUUUCCGGUCCUCAGUGCCGCAGCAAACGCAUUAAGCGCUCCGCCUGGGGAGUACGACCGCAAGGUUGAAACUCAAAGGAAUUGACGGGGGCCCGCACAAGCGGUGGAGCAUGUGGUUUAAUUCGAAGCAACGCGAAGAACCUUACCAGGUCUUGACAUCCUGUGCUACACCUAGAGAUAGGUGGUUCCCUUCGGGGACGCAGAGACAGGUGGUGCAUGGCUGUCGUCAGCUCGUGUCG
Molecule: ribosomal RNA, 991 nt
Filed under: Lactobacillus delbrueckii subsp. bulgaricus
Lineage: Bacteria; Bacillati; Bacillota; Bacilli; Lactobacillales; Lactobacillaceae
Description: bacterial SSU rRNA
Rfam family: Bacterial small subunit ribosomal RNA
Source: RNAcentral